GAUGAACGCUGGCGGCGUGCUUAACACAUGCAAGUCGAACGGAAAGGCCCAAGCUUGCUUGGGUACUCGAGUGGCGAACGGGUGAGUAACACGUGGGUGAUCUGCCCUGCACUUCGGGAUAAGCCUGGGAAACUGGGUCUAAUACCGGAUAGGACGAUGGUUUGGAUGCCAUUGUGGAAAGUUUUUUCGGUGUGGGAUGAGCUCGCGGCCUAUCAGCUUGUUGGUGGGGUAAUGGCCUACCAAGGCGUCGACGGGUAGCCGGCCUGAGGGGGUGUACGGCCACAUUGGGACUGAGAUACGGCCCAGACUCCUACGGGAGGCAGCAGUGGGGAAUAUUGCACAAUGGGCGCAAGCCUGAUGCAGCGACGCCGCGUGGGGGAUGACGGCCUUCGGGUUGUAAACUCCUUUCGCUAGGGACGAAGCGUUUUUGUGACGGUACCUGGAGAAGAAGCACCGGCUAACUACGUG
RNAcentral lists this ribosomal RNA (468 nucleotides) under uncultured bacterium. RNAcentral describes it as "partial 16S ribosomal RNA". It matches the Rfam family "Bacterial small subunit ribosomal RNA", at positions 28 to 507 of the family's 1533-position model. The record is from RNAcentral.